AUGUCAAAUAAAAUUAAUGACAAUCGAUAUGACACUUACAGUGAUAUAAUAGUCUAAAAAAAACCAAAAAAAUGAUAUCUCAGCUUCCGAAAUGUAAUUCAAUGUAAUUUUUCAACAAAAGAUGUAAGAAGUCUAUAUUAUUUCCAUAUUUUACAUAAAAACUGUAUAAGUUAUUACCAAUCAUGGAGAACACAAAACAUAAUCAUAUCUCUAACUCAAAAAACUCUACAUACAAGAAAUGAUAAAUGGUAAAAGAUGAGUUUCCAAAGGGAACACACCAAGAGUUCAAAAACGUUGUCUAAGCUAGUUGACAAUUGUCUGUCUAAGAAUGCAGUACCAGAAACACCUCACAGUCCCAACAGACUGCAUUUAUUUCAUUGGGCAAGACAAGAUCAAAAAAUUCACUUCCUUAGCAAAACCAUGAAAGUGCAUUCAACAGUGACGAUCUUUUUCGAUUGGAUAACAUGGAUGAAAAAGCGAAUGAGCUCGAUUUCAGAGAUAAAAGCAUUUCAGAAUCACAUCAAUGAAUCCUGAAGACAAUUCGAUGACAUAUAGUAUCAAAAUUUAUCAAUAGUCCAAAGAUCUCAACAAAGAUUAAGAUUUCGCACCACCUCUACUGUUUCUCCAUCUUCUAAGCAUAGCAGCCACUUAACUUCAUUGAACGCCUUAAUACAAUAUAAACUCUAGCGACUACAAAGAUAUUAAAGCUUGAUGAAAGGAGGUUCCAGUCUUUAGUAAAUUUCGUUUGAAAUAUUACAAACAGUUUGGUCUUAGUCUUGGGGUGUGUAAAAUCGAGUUAGAGAUCUUCGUGGGAUUAAAUUUUUAGUGUAAAUUCGUUUCUUAUCUUCAUAGCCCUGAAAAUAGAGUAUUGGUACAUCAUUUUCUGUUGAAACAACACUGGAUUAUUGUUUUAUAACACUGUCUAUAAGAAACUAACUAUAAAAAAUUGUCCAUAACUGUUCUUUGCAUAUUAAUGAUAUAUUAUUCUUCAGUUUGGAAACGCCAUCAACCUGUAAGAACCUAAUCAUUCGAUAAGCGUCCACUAAAAGUUUGAUUGAUAUUCAUAAUAUCAAAAUUUACUUUUUGGGUAUUUUAGUAAUUAAAAAUAAAUAUUCAGCCCAAUAAUUUAUUAAUAACAAUAACUUUAAUCACAGACAAAGUACUGGUUACGCAUUUACAAAAAAAAAAAGAAUAAAAACCAGACAAACCUAUUGGAUAAAAAGAAAUAAUUCUUUAAAGUAGCUAUUCAAACACGUUAAAAAUAGUACAUAAAUCUACUAUUCGAUAUCGAUAAAGUGUAGGUAUAAUAAUAACAAGGUGUAAAAUGGAAUCGUACAAAGAAUGUUGAGUUGAUGUUAAAAAUAGAACUGAAAUUUAAAAAAAUAGGAUGGCAAAAGCAGGAAAAUAAAAAUGGAAAAAGUCGUAAAAUAUUUCUUUUGUAAAAUGUACUUACAUUAUACACAUUAUUCUCAUUUCCUGCGUCAGUUCUUUGUAUUAUUUAAUAGCUUCUAGUAACAGUUUUUGCGAUUAUUAUUUAUUUAUACUUAUUUAACAAUUUGUAAUAAAUUCGAUAGUACAGCUUUUAAUUAAGAAAGAAAAAAAGUAAGAAACCAAUCUAAUGUUAAAAAUGUUAUUAUAACUUAAAUUAAUACAUUUCAUUUUUUGAUGAUUCAAUCAACAUGACUGUAAGGAAAAACCGAUAUCUUGCUAGUUAAAAAUGGAAUAAUAUUUUUCAAGCUUUGUUUUUUCUUAUACAUUAUAAUAGUAGUUUAAAAAAUAAACUAACAUUACAAAAAUGCACAAGGUUUUUUUUAAAUUGCUUUUUAAUCGUAAUAGCGGAAAGUAGUUCCAAUUUGGGAACGAAAAUUAAUAAAUUAAACAUUACAUUAAAUAUUUGCCUAUCUAAAAUACUUGAAUAAAUCAAAAUUUCAAAAAAAGAAACUAUCCGAUAAGAGGCGAUUUAUAUCAACCUCUCAGUUAAGUUUUAUUUGCAUGUAAAGUUUCACUCUUCUUUUAGGAUACUUGUAUACAACAAUAUAAAUUAGGUAUAUAUAUAUAUAUAUAGGCCCUACAAAUCUUUUUUUUUUAAUAUUACACUUUUUUAAAUAUAUUUUUCGAAAUCUUCAAUAAAUUGACUUUAUUAUAUUUUUUAUUCUCUUUUUAAAUUUUAUUAUAGAGCUUUCACAUCGUCCACAUUUACGUAACAAGUUUUCGCGAGAUUCAUAAAAAUCAGUAAUUAUUAAAUGUUUUAUAAUCGAUAUUCAAAAAAAUAAUCUCAGGUGAUUUGUGGAAAAUAUAUCUUGUUAUUAGGUUUAAAAAUAAUCCCUACUAAUAAUAACUAAAUAAUUACUACGCAAUAAGUAGUUAUUGAAGUAAUGCAACCAUAUUUGUACUUUGAGAUAACUCUUUAUGCUGAUAAAGCUUUAAACCAAACAAGAAAUACAGCAGAAGUAACAAAAAGGAAAUCGCUCGUCAAAAUGAUAAUGUUAAAAUGGAGAGAUUAAUUAUAAGCAUAAAAUCUGUGGUAACCUCUGCCGCACAGUGUUAAGCCACAAGGAGUCGUCGGUUAUAAAAAGGUAAAUAAAGUGUUUAAAAUUAAUAAGCAGACUUAUAAAAACUCACAAUGUCCGGCUGAAAACUACCUGGGGCCACAGAAUUCAUUUUCCCAUAUAUAAUUUAUUGUAUAUGUACAUUUCUAGGAGUAUUAUUAAUUCGAAAAACCCACAAAACAAUUCUAAUAAUGUAAUAAAAUUGCUGCUAACCUGAUAAAAAUAUUUUAUAACUAAAUUAAUUUGACUUAAAGUUUUUCAGUAUAAUUGAUAGUCUCUAUACUCAAAUGAGUCGCUGUUUACAAAGUAUUCUAUGUUUUCUAUCUUACACCACUAUUCCACACUAUGAAAGAAUUCAAUGUCCACGAAUACGAAAUUAAGAUCACCUCAUUAAUGAUAAAAUU
This 2953-nucleotide long non-coding RNA is filed under the name Onthophagus taurus. Its description in RNAcentral is "uncharacterized LOC111423940". The record is from RNAcentral. Lineage: Eukaryota; Metazoa; Arthropoda; Insecta; Coleoptera; Scarabaeidae.